AGAGUUUGAUCAUGGCUCAGGAUGAACGCUGGCGGCGUGCUUAACACAUGCAAGUCGAACGGGAAUGCUUCGCUGAUGCGAUUUCGGUCAAACCUUGAAGCAUUUUAGUGGCGGACGGGUGAGUAACGCGUGGGUAACCUGCCCUGUACAGGGGGACAACAGUUGGAAACGACUGCUAAUACCGCAUAAGCGCACAGCUUCGCAUGAAGCAGUGUGAAAAACUCCGGUGGUACAGGAUGGACCCGCGUUUGAUUAGAUAGUUGGUGAGGUAACGGCCCACCAAGUCAACGAUCAGUAGCCGGCCUGAGAGGGCGAACGGCCACAUUGGGACUGAGACACGGCCCAAACUCCUAUGGGAGGCAGCAGUGGGGAAUAUUGGGCAAUGGGCGAAAGCCUGACCCAGCAACGCCGCGUGAAGGAAGAAGGCCUUCGGGUUGUAAACUUCUUUUACCAGGGACGAAGGACGUGACGGUACCUGGAGAAAAAGCAACGGCUAACUACGUGCCAGCAGCCGCGGUAAUACGUAGGUUGCAAGCGUUGUCCGGAUUUACUGGGUGUAAAGGGCGUGUAGGCGGAGAUGCAAGUUAGGAGUGAAAUCUAUGGGCUCAACCCAUAAACUGCUUCUAAAACUGUAUCCCUUGAGUAUCGGAGAGGCAAGCGGAAUUCCUAGUGUAGCGGUGAAAUGCGUAGAUAUUAGGAGGAACACCAGUGGCGAAGGCGGCUUGCUGGACGACAACUGACGCUGAGGCGCGAAAGCGUGGGGAGCAAACAGGAUUAGAUACCCUGGUAGUCCACGCUGUAAACGAUGAAUACUAGGUGUGGGGGGACUGACCCCCUCCGUGCCGCAGUUAACACAAUAAGUAUUCCACCUGGGGAGUACGACCGCAAGGUUGAAACUCAAAGGAAUUGACGGGGGCCCGCACAAGCAGUGGAUUAUGUGGUUUAAUUCGACGCAACACGAAGAACCUUACCAGGACUUGACAUCCAACUAACGAAGUAGAGAUACAUCAGGUGCCCUUCGGGGAAAGUUGAGACAGGUGGUGCAUGGUUGUCGUCAGCUCGUGUCGUGAGAUGUUGGGUUAAGUCCCGCAACGAGCGCAACCCCUAUUGUUAGUUGCUACGAAAGAGCACUCUAGCGAGACUGCCGUUGACAAAACGGAGGAAGGCGGGGACGACGUCAAAUCAUCAUGCCCCUUAUGUCCUGGGCUACACACGUAAUACAAUGGUGGCCAACAGAGGGAAGCGAAGCCGUGAGGCGGAGCAAAUCCCUAAAAGCCAUCUCAGUUCGGAUUGCAGGCUGCAACUCGCCUGCAUGAAGCUGGAAUUGCUAGUAAUCGCGGAUCAGCAUGCCGCGGUGAAUACGUUCCCGGGCCUUGUACACACCGCCCGUCACACCAUGAGAGUCGGGAACACCCGAAGUCCGUAGUCUAACCGCAAGGGGGGCGCGGCCGAAGGUGGGUCCGGUAAUUGGGGUGAAGUCGUAACAAGGUA
Molecule: ribosomal RNA, 1491 nt
Filed under: metagenome
Description: bacterial SSU rRNA
Rfam family: Bacterial small subunit ribosomal RNA
Source: RNAcentral